GGCGUCAUAGAGGUGAGAAUCCCGUCUGUGACCGGUGACCGAUCCCAUGCGAAACCCCUUCGACGAGUCGAGUUGUUUGGGAAUGCAGCUCAAAAUGGGUGGUAAAUUUCAUCUAAAGCUAAAUACUGGCUGGAGACCGAUAGCGCACAAGUAGAGUGAUCGAAAGAUGAAAAGCACUUUGGAAAGAGAGUCAAAAAGUACGUGAAAUUGUUGAAAGGGAAGCGCUUGCAACCAGACCUGUCCGUGGGUGAUCAGCCGCCGUUCUCGGUGGUGCACUCGCCUACGAUCAGGCCAGCAUCGGUUCGGGCGGUCGGACAAAGGCCUUGGGAAUGUAGCUCCUCUCGGGGAGUCUUAUAGCCCUCGGUGCAAUGCGGCCAGCCCGGACCGAGGACCGCGCUUCGGCUAGGAUGCUGGCGUAAUGGUUGUAAGCGACCCGUCUUGAAACACGGACCAAGGAGUCUAACAUCUAUGCGAGUGUUUGGGUGUCAAACCCAUACGCGGAAUGAAAGUGAACGGAGGUGAGAACCCUUUAGGGCGCAUCAUCGACCGAUCCAGAUGUCUUCGGAUGGAUUUGAGUAUGAGCAUAGCUGUUGGGACCCGAAAGAUGGUGAACUAUGCCUGAAUAGGGUGAAGCCAGAGGAAACUCUGGUGGAGGCUCGCAGCGGU
Molecule: ribosomal RNA, 666 nt
Filed under: Protoparmelia aff. badia A GS-2015
Lineage: Eukaryota; Fungi; Ascomycota; Lecanoromycetes; Lecanorales; Parmeliaceae
Description: eukaryotic LSU rRNA
Rfam family: Eukaryotic large subunit ribosomal RNA
Source: RNAcentral